This is a long non-coding RNA of Dromaius novaehollandiae (emu), 6704 nucleotides long. RefSeq lists it as uncharacterized. Lineage: Eukaryota; Metazoa; Chordata; Aves; Casuariiformes; Dromaiidae. The transcript has 3 exons. The record is from RefSeq and is a predicted model, not a curated record.
GGCGCAGCUCUGCGGGCGGCGGCGGCGGCGGCGGCGGCGACGCGGGGAGGCGCUGGGCUGGCGGCGGGGCCGCCCUCGGCGCGAGGGAGCCGCCGCGCGUGCCGGUGAGCGGGGAGGGCGGGUGGUGGUCUGCCGCGGGCAGCCCGCUCGGCCCCCGCCCGGCCCGCGGGCAGGCGCUGCCUCUCCGGAGCCCUGUCAGCCUCCCGCCGGCCCCCCGUCCGCUCAGGGCCCGCCGGGCCCCCCUCAGCGCCCGUCUCCCGCCCAGAGCCUGCGCGCAGCCGCCGCCCGCCCCCCCCCCCCCCCCCGAGGCGCCCCUUGACCCCGUCCCCGGCGGGCCCUGCCUGCGGUGCCGCCCCGGGCCUCGGGCUGUGCAGAGCCUCGGUGGCUUCGUGAGGAAGGGCGGGGAGUUCGGGGGUGCGCUGAGGUCCGUGCUGGUGGCGGGGCCGCUCCCGCCUCGUCCCGGCGAGAAGCCGCCGUGUCCCGCUGCGGGAGCAGCCUGCGCUUUGCGCCCGGACUUGUCAGCGUCCUUGGGACAAAUUCUUUACGACCAGGUCAUAAAUUUGAGGGAAACAUGUGUGUACAGGUUAAAAAUAACAACUUCGAUUUAUCUUUGGUGACGCUGCCUUUUAAACAGAAGAUAGGGCCUCCUAAAAAUGACAGAAUUUAGCGUAUUUGCCUUGUCUGGUAGCACUUCCCUAAGCAGGCAAGUGGUUUUCGAUAUUAAAUGCGAAACUGAUUAUAUCGUCUUUCAAAGUUAACAGCGUAUUUGCUGAAAUCAGUGCUGUUUCCACAAUAUUGUAUAUUGUUUUCUGCUGAUGCUUAUUUUGUAAUGCUGCUUGAAAUUUCACUUAUGGGAAAUUUGGAGUGCAAGAACAAACUAAUUCAAAAGAGAAACUUUAUUUUAGUCUUGCACAAUAAGUAAGUAUUCCUCAAGUUUUUUGAAUCAUUUGUGCUAUUUUAUAGCCAAAGAAAAUAAUGAUUAGUUGUUAAUUAGAAAUUUGUGGCAUGUGUGGCUGUACAUCUACGCAAAGUUAAUUUUUAAAGCUCGAGAAGUUACAGUGAAUCUCUUGUCCAUUUUCCAUUUAGUUGCUGGGAAUUUAAUCAGAUGUGACAUUUUUGUUUUGCAUUUUACUGGUUAGAUUUACUGCCGUUUGGUAACCUACUCAGAGGAUUGUGUGGGUGGUGCUCUGGAAUCAGCCACAACUUCCCUGCUUGAUCUUACUCCAGUAGUUUGAAAUUUAGCUGUAAUAGACACAGUUGUUUUUCUAAUUCACAUCUGGAUCCUUUAAUACUCUUAUUACACAUGCGGUGAAUAUUCUUAAGCAUACUUUGGUGAGAUGUGGAGUGCUUUUGCUUGGAAUCUUGUCACAUGUAGAAAAUAUAAGACUAGUAAAUAUUUUGCUAUAUCCUCCAUUCCCACAAGAGAACGGGCAGACUUUAUAAGUUUUUUUUUUUUAAUGUUAUAUGGCAAGAACAUUUGUUCAGUUCUUAAAUUUACUGACUAAUCUUGUCCUGAAUCUAAUGAAAUUUGAGAAAACUGUAUCACGAGCAAGUAUGAUAUAGUGCCAACACUGAGAGCUGCCCUUCCUACAUGUCUGGUUCAAUAACAUCCACUGGAUCAAAGAUAUUUCUUUACCUGUUAGCACAGGCACUCAUAACCAGAAUAUACACAGUUUUUGCCACCCUCAUCUCCCUCCAGCUCUCCUUUCCAGUUGAAAGAUCAGUAUUUCUUCCCACCACACACACCAAGAAUACUGAUACAGCCUUUCAAAGCACAGCUCAGCUUGGGAAAGUUUGGAAAGAGAAGAUGCUGCAUUUCUCAGUAAUGUUCAAGAAUAUUGUUGUCGUGCCUUGUCGCUUCCUUGAGAACUGAACAUUCGUUCCUUUAUGCUAGCUCUGCUCUUUUGUGUAGCACCAGAGGAAAGCUAAAGUAGGCUUAUUCCUGCCUCCCCUUGCAGCAUGCUGUCUCUUCUCAGCCCUGAUCAGGGACAGGCCUUGCUUUUUAGGAGAACUCAGCUGUGUCAAGAGGAAAGGUGGUGGUCCUGCAUGUCCUACAAAUCAACACAGAGGCUGGAUUUCAACCUUGAGCAGCUGUCCUUUACAUGUUGGAAAAGUUAUUUGUUAUAUCUCCAAAAAAGAAGAGACUUACUGUUUUUCACAUUUUCAAAGAAGAUGUUUUUAUUAUUUUUGAACAACAAUACAUGUUGUUUUCAAAUUAUACUUUUCCCUCAGCAAAAGUGAAAGCCACCUAGCUGGUUGUUUUUGGAGUCAAGAUCUCUAAUGCUUUGCCAAUACAGUGUAUUGUUGGUCCUCUACUAGAAGACCCGUCAGUGUAGACAUAGCUUCAAACUUCAGAUGACUGAAUAUUUCUUUCAGACUUAUUUUAGGUCACAUACUGUUUAAUGUUUUGCCAAGUUCCCGUCUGCAAGAAUCAUGUACUUGUAAUUUUAAACUUUCAUUACAAAAAAAAAGUAUUUAGAUACUGUUAUUGUAGACAAAGACUUGGAAAUAUGGCCUCAGCAAACCCUAGAACCAGAGAAGUCAAAUAAAACAUCCCUAUUCAAGUAAUCUAAAUUUCACACCAUUUAAGGCAAUCUAGUGAUUUCUUUGAAAGUCAGACUUUCAAACUUUAGGAUACUUUUAUUGACAAUGUUAGUCAUAUUCUAGACUUUAUGAUUUGGACCCAACUUGGCAUGCAAUGCAUGUUCAAAAAUUCUGUUUUUGUAAUGCUCCUUGAACAUGCUGUUCUGCUGCUUUAAGUUGCUAUGUCUAGGAAAAUCAUUUCAAAGCUUUUAUCAGCUUAAAAAAUGGUGCUGUUAUCUUUUUUUCUUUGUAUGACAAUCCCAAGAUUAUAUCCCUACACAGCAAGGAUACAUUAUAUAUAAAGUGUAGUAUCUUCUAUAGCAUUCUUGUUGUCACUUAGCUUUGAACUAACUGUAAUGUAACCCUAACUUUGAAAUGUGAAUUUCAAAGUUAUUUGAAAUCAAUACAUCAAUAUUUGAGUGGUGGAGCAUAUCAUCUUAUUUUACCCACCUUCUUCCUCUCUCUUAUCUUCUGUUACAGUAGAGAGCAAAACCUGUAUCUGGCUCCACUGUACAGCCUGCAGGUGACACAAGCUGAUGCAUGACACAAGCUUUUCUAAUUAGCUAAAAUUUGCAUGUUGGGAUUUGAUUUUCAUUGGACUGUAAUUUUUUGAAGAGUUUUAGUUUUUUCCUAACAAACUAUCCUUAACAGACAAGGUAUUUGAUUCAAAUGUUUUCUUUCUUAUCCCUUUCAACAAUUUUUUCUUGGUCGAUACCUGUACUGAAAUGGACAAAUUGGAGCAAGGUUGAGGGCAGUUAAUGGGUGCAGUUAUUGUAUAGGUUUUUAAAAAUCUGUUUCAUGAAGCAUGUGUUUUGAUUACAAAUACAAGACCCAUUACAAUAUGUCAUAUUACUGAAAAGUUUUCAAAUUUUUUCCCUUUCAACAGUCUUGAAUUCAAGCUGGAAAAUAAAAAUUUAUCUGAAAUUUCUUUAUUGCUGUUAAAAAUUUUAUUCUUUUCCUACAUGGCAUCUCAUUUUCUGUUUGUCUAAAAAUCAUGGGAUCUUUUAUAAAUAGGCUUUAACAUGAAGUAAAUUAGCUGCUAGUUAUUUUAAUAAUUUUUGUGUGAUGUAUGACAUAUAUACUAAUAGUGAGUCUAUUGAAUCAUCACUUAAUUGUGAUAAUUUAUACCUAUGACAUUCCUCACUGGCUUGCAGAAGUAUCUGGAUAGCAUGGAAGCCGUAUAAUACUGAUUCUAAAAUACAGCUUCCCAAGUAACAAAAUCAGAUAAAGGAAAAUGAAGUAUUAAAAAUUGUUACUCCAUACCAACAGGUAUUUUAUGUUCUCAAAUUCAUGUGUAGCUUUUUAUUGAGGGCUAAUAGAAAGAUGAGAUGCCUUCUGUUUCUGCUAAUGGCUACAGAAACUUUUGCUCAGUUCAAAGAACUCAGUUUUUGGAGCUAAAGAUAAAGAUUCUCACUUGUGCAUGACUUUUUGAAGUAAUUUUAUCUUUCCUGCGUGAUUUGCUUUGUGAGCAAAAUACACCUUUUGGCUCAGGGCAUGAAAAUAGAGACGCUUCUAUUAAUUACAAAGAAAAAGACAAUAUUACUUUGGACCUUCCAUCCAAUCUUCCGUCCUUACAUAGGAAGGAUAUUUGCUGCAUUGUUUGUUGGUCUACACGUUGCUUUGUAACAAGAUAUGUGUGUCAGCUGAAGUGUGUUAUCUUUUUCUGUGUGAUUUUGGCUAGUGUAAUAAAAUAGUAGAAUACCUACUGUGGUGGCAAGUCAGAGUGCAUAAAGCAUUCGUGUGUUUUGCUGAUGUCAAUGGGGAUGUUUUGUGUGUCACCUGAAUGGAUUCCAGAAUUGUCUCACAGAGUAAGAAAGAAAUUUGUUGCAGAUUAUGUACACAAAAAACCUGAGCUCGCCUAGGAUAAGAACCUCUGUGUCAACAGUUGCUUCUGAUAGGUGAAAUAGUCCCUUUGAAAGCUCCUACACUCUUUGAAAUAAUUUUAGUUAGCAAUAAAAUAGCUGGCAGUAACUGUCAGCAUAUAAAAACGUGCUUCAGGUCACUUUAUUUCCAUGAAUGAUGUUACUCAGAAAAAGCCUGUUCUGGACAUCAUUCCUAAAAUGCUAUUGAUAAGUGUAAGAAAAGUUUUAUCACUGCCUGGCAUUAGAAAUGCAAGGUCUCAUUCUUGUUGGUUGAAUGUGCAGCAUUAAUAAUUUCAGUUCAUUGCAUAUUUUCAGGGGAUCACGUUCCUCAUCUUAAUCAGUGUCAAGUUUCUAUAGCAACUAGCAUUUAUGAGUGCUAGACAAUAAUGUAUGCUGCUAUCACUGUUAGCCACUAAGAGUAACAGAGAAAAUGUCUGAAAAUAUGUGUCCAAGUAUUUUCAUAUGCUGAUUCUUCCAUCUCUUAAAGAGCACUUCAUGGAAUAAGAACUGUGGAUAGCCUUAUAUAUUAAUGUAUAUUCAUUUAGCUAAACAUCAAAUAAUGUAAUUAUUUAAUUCCUUAAAUUAGUUGAAGGUUUUUCCAAAACACUGAGCAAAGAAGGAAACAAUAAGCACAGUCAUUUAUGGGUUUCAGCCUUUGAUCAGUGUGUAUACAGCAUAGCCAAUAUAAUUUCAUGUGUUCAUACAGAUGUGAAAAACUUGAUGAAGCCUUCUGGCUUUAAUCACUCAUGUAGUCUAGUGAGAAAGAGAUGGAAGCAGCAGAAAGAUGCAGAGACCAGUAUAAAACACAGGACCCUGGUGCACUGAAAUGUUUGGAGGAAGAUGCUGUGAGCAUGCACACAUUUUAGAAGCUUAGAAUGAUAAAGCCAUUGGGAGUUUUUCAUGUGCAGGUUUGGUCUGUAAUCUGUGACACAAAGAAAUGUUAGGAUGAACAGUUUUUGUGAAAGGCAUAUACAUAAAAAUGAUAUUUUACACUAGCACACCUUCCUAAAAGUAUCCAAACCUGGAAAGCUGAAAUAAAGAAUAGAAUGAAUAUUUUAUUAGUUCAUAUAUUAUUAUCAAUAUGACUUAAAACUAUUUAAGAGCUGAAAUAUGACUAUUUCCUUGAUUCCAUGAGUAUUAAAGGGCCACUGUCAUUUUCCAUGUGUGUGUGUCCUGGUAAAGUCCAGUGAGGCAGAUGGAAUUUUUUCUUUUGGUUUGAAUAGACCAUCACAUCUUUAUGACACUUUUUUUUUUUUUUUUUUUUUUUUUUAACUUUAGCACUGAAGUGCUACAUACUGUGGGGGCGGCAGAUACAAUCUGUAAGCACAUGGUGAAUAAUUAGUGAGGAAGAAACAGCACCUUACUUUGUCUAAUUCAUUUACUUAUGGUAACAAGCAAAUCUCUAUUUCUGCCCCAAGAUCCUUGUGACCAUUAUAAAGAUUGUAAUGAGACUGUAAUUCACUGGCAAUUAAGGAUGAACCCCUGAUUUUCUGUAGAGCUGUCAUAUUGCUCGUGCUGUUAGAUAUGUGCGUGGAUAUAUAUUUGUAUAAGUCUGUGCUUUGUAAAUCUCCUUCCUGUGACCUUGUCCUAUUCCUUUGGGCACCUCUUCCAAUAAAUUUCUUUUUGAGUGAUUUUAUGCAGAAGAAUGCAUUUAUGAAGAAAUACCUUGCUGCACACCUCAGAACUAAAAUAUCAACAUUUCUGCAAGACAUGCAUGCAAUUGCAUUUAUGACUUUGUUCAUCACUGGUGUUGCUGCAUGGGCUGGGAAAAUUAAACAGGGUUCAGCUGGAUCCACAAAGCCGCACUCAUGAGUGGAGUUGGAGGGAAAACUGGGAUUUAUCUGUCAUCCCUGCUUCUCCCUAAACAUGUGGACUUCAGAGGAUUUGGAGAGAAAGGAGGGAAAACCUGAAUGGAGGAGCAAGUUGGAACUGGAGCCUGCUGUAACAGCUGUGGGAGAUCUGCUUUGCAGUAAGAUGAUUUUAGACUCAGCCAUCUACAUUUCUCUUAUCAUGGACUUCAGCAGAUGUAGUCAAGAUACAAAAAUAUGCGAUCAUGGUAGAAGGAUAGCCUAAGGAACUGAAGAAAGAGCUGCCAUCUGGAACAAGUACAAUCUUUCAGUCUGCAGUGCAUCAGUACUUCAUGCAGCUUCUUCACGAAUCAAAGUAUGUCAAAGCUCAGUGCACCUUAAAGCACCCUCAGAGUGUGGUGACACCUGGAAACAGAAGCAAUACAAAGCAGCAGCAACAAUCUAUUACAUU